This 1370-nucleotide long non-coding RNA is filed under the name Aotus nancymaae (Ma's night monkey). RNAcentral's name for it is "lncRNA (ENSANAG00000038655.1)". The record is from RNAcentral. Lineage: Eukaryota; Metazoa; Chordata; Mammalia; Primates; Aotidae.
CAGCCACAGAACAGACACUUUCCCGGCUAUGCAGGGCUGGGCGUUGGGGUGGGGGGCUCACCUGGACCCUCCAAGGCAUCAGACUGUCCAACUGCUCAGUUUUCACAGGGACAAGAGCCUUGCUGAGGGUGAAGGGGGCUGCGAGUGCCCAGCAGGGCAGCCUGGGCAGGUUCUGCCUCCCACAGCUGUCCCACUCUCCGGAGCUGCCUCGGUGGCAGAUGGCGCUGUCCUGAAAGGAUCCGCUGAAAUGACAGGGCAUGAGGCAGAGAGGCCGAGUGCUGACUACGGGGAGCUGAGAAGCUACUCCAGGGCAGUCAUGGCUGGCGGGAGGACCUCACUCAGGGUGGGGCCACAGGCAUCUUGGGGGACCACAGUCUUCUCUUCCAUAUCAACUGGAGGCCAGGGAGCUGCUGGACCCCUAGGAGCCAGGUCCAACGGAUAGGGCUUCCUGGCUGCAGAGUUGCGGGGACUCAGAGGGGAAUGCUGACCAUAGAGGUGGACAGCCUCCGUCCUGCUGGGCCCGCCCUGACCUGGCAUCCACUGUCCACAUCCCUCCAUCUGCCCACCCCCAACCCUGGACAACAACCAGCACAGUGCAGCAUGGCCCUGCAGUGACACCAGCAGCAGAGAGGUCAGACCCAGCAUCCCCCAGCUCCUAAAGGGCCAGCAGGUCCCGGGAGCUGGGGGCAGGGCCUGGCUGUGGGGCCUCCAUGUCCUGGGGGCCAGGGAAGACCCUCCUUAGUCGGCAACCCCUGCAGACACAUCCCCUGGCCAGCACUUGGGGACCUCCCUGCCCCCGCCCCAUCCCCCUACCUUGCCUGCUGAGACACAGGGCUCCACGCGUCUCUCUCCUGGGUGGGGUGACUGUGACCUGACCUGUGAGGGGCCCUCAUCGUGUUGGGUUUUCCUGCCAGAAGCAGAAACCACAAAAUUACCUGGAACAUACACAGCCCCAAGUGACAGAUUCAAUUCAAUUCCACAAAUAUUGACCUCACGUCUAAUCCACUCGUCCUCUGGUGUCAGCUCCUUCCUGAGGGGCCCAGCCUGGCAGCCACAGAUCCCGUUUAAUUCCAGCCUGACAAUGUCACCAGCUCAUGGAACGGGAGCUGGGCUCAUCGAGGCCCUGGCAGGUGGGGCCAGAGCUGGGCUCUGAACUCUAUACCCACACCUACCACCAUGGAAAGUGCCAGGAAGCGGGGUGGGCAGGCAUGGUCAGCUGAGGGUCCAAGCCUGCCCCAGCGCACCAGGUGCCCGCCCUGGCUGCCUGACUUGGCAGCUAAUCUCUGUGGGGCCCUGGAGCUACAUGGUGACUUCAGCACAGGGACAUUUAUCAGAAAUGGAACUGAUGGAUUAAAGUGGAACCAGGUGAA